GUCUUGGUGGCUCAAUUGUUAAGUGUUUGGCUGUUAACUGAAAGUUGGUGGUUUGAACCCACCCAGCGGCU
RNAcentral lists this transfer RNA (71 nucleotides) under Loxodonta africana (African savanna elephant). It matches the Rfam family "tRNA". Rfam says of the family: Transfer RNA (tRNA) molecules are approximately 80 nucleotides in length. Their secondary structure includes four short double-helical elements and three loops (D, anti-codon, and T loops). The record is from Rfam by way of RNAcentral. Lineage: Eukaryota; Metazoa; Chordata; Mammalia; Proboscidea; Elephantidae.